Molecule: transfer RNA, 85 nt
Filed under: Felis catus (domestic cat)
Lineage: Eukaryota; Metazoa; Chordata; Mammalia; Carnivora; Felidae
Rfam family: tRNA
About the family: Transfer RNA (tRNA) molecules are approximately 80 nucleotides in length. Their secondary structure includes four short double-helical elements and three loops (D, anti-codon, and T loops).
Source: Rfam by way of RNAcentral
ACCUGGGUGGCUCAGUCGGUUGAGUGUCUGACUUCAGCUCAGGUCAUGAUCUCGCAGUUCGUGAGUUUGAACCCCACAUCAGGCU